CCUUUACCGAACAUAUUUUUCAACGAAAAUGCCAUAAUAAUUAGAAUUAAUCAAACUAAAAACACAAAAAAAUACUAUUAGCACGUAAGAGUUGAAACGAGUUUACCGGAUAGACGAACAACUUCUUGAAAAUUGAAAAUCGUUGUAAUUGAACACUUGAAAACUUCAAUUCAACAACUUCACAAUGUUUCACGAAUUUGCAACAAAANNN
This 211-nucleotide long non-coding RNA is filed under the name Nicotiana benthamiana. RNAcentral describes it as "long non-coding RNA (NBEN_LNC032801)". Lineage: Eukaryota; Viridiplantae; Streptophyta; Magnoliopsida; Solanales; Solanaceae. The record is from RNAcentral.